GCGCUUGUAGCUCAAUUGGACAGAGCAUCUGACUACGGAUCAGAAGGUUCGGGGUUCGAAUCCCUGCAAGCGCG
This 74-nucleotide transfer RNA is filed under the name Acidimicrobiaceae bacterium. RNAcentral describes it as "tRNA-Arg". It matches the Rfam family "tRNA". From Rfam's summary of the family: Transfer RNA (tRNA) molecules are approximately 80 nucleotides in length. Their secondary structure includes four short double-helical elements and three loops (D, anti-codon, and T loops). Lineage: Bacteria; Bacillati; Actinomycetota; Acidimicrobiia; Acidimicrobiales; Acidimicrobiaceae. RNAcentral also lists the same sequence under 1 other name. The record is from RNAcentral.